GGGCGGGAUAUGUUUAAACAGCUGAUGGUUGGGUCUGCUGAGCGUAGUGCGGAUGGGGGAGACGACAACAACAUUCAGGCAUCAUGAGAUUUUUGUCAAGUCUCCUUUGGGCAGCUCUUUUGUUAAAACAGGUUUUAGGUGAAUAUGGCAUGGCACAUUUCAGCGAUCAGGGGAACAGUAAAGGCAAAGAUUACUGCAUAUUCUUCAACUCUCAGUGGGCUCGACUACCUCAGGACCUCAGUAAAGCAGCACGGCUGCAGACUUACGAUCUCACCACCUCUGUCCUGUGCUCCCCCUCUGAUGUACCCGAGGGUGGCUUCCCAAACAGCAUCCCAAUGGUGAUGAGAGGAAAUUGCACUUUCUAUGAAAAAGUCCGAUUGGCCCAGAUCAAUGGUGCCAAGGGACUACUGAUCGUCAGCAAAGAUAGACUGACUCCACCCUCAGGCAACAAGUCCCAGUAUGAGGAGAUAGGCAUCCCAGUGGCCUUGCUAAGCUAUAAAGACAUGCUGGACAUCAGUAAGAAGUUUGGGGAGAAACAGCAGGUGGCCAUGUAUGCGCCCAAUGAACCGGUGGUGGACUACAACAUGGUGCUCAUCUUUCUGAUGGCAGUGGGUACAGUGGCUGUCGGAGGAUAUUGGGCUGGCAGCAGGGACAUUAAAAAACGUUACAUGAAGCACAAAAGGGACGACGGUGCAGAGAAACAAGACGAGGAGAUCGUUGACGUCACCCCCAUCAUGAUUUGUGUGUUUGUGGUCAUGUGCUGCUCUAUGCUGGUGCUCUUAUAUUUCUUCUAUGAUCAAUUGGUAUAUAUGACUAUAGCAACGUUCUGUCUGGCAUCUGCUGUCGGUCUGUAUAGCUGUCUUUGGCCUUUUGUCCGAAGACUGCCAUUUGGGAAAUGCAGGAUACCUGAGAAUAACUUGCCAUAUUGCCACAAGCGGCCACAGGUGCGCAUGCUGGUCCUUUCAGCCUUCUGUAUAGGAGUCAGCGUCACCUGGGGAGUUUUCCGCAACGAAGACCAGUGGGCGUGGAUACUUCAGGAUGCGUUAGGCAUCGCUUUCUGUCUCUACAUGCUGAAAACAAUCAGGCUGCCUACUUUCAAGGCCUGCACUCUGCUGCUGGUCGUGCUGUUCGUGUAUGACGUGUUUUUUGUUUUCAUAACACCACUCUUAACUGAGAGUGGGGAAAGUAUCAUGGUUGAGGUGGCGGCUGGUCCCUCUGAUUCCUCUACUCAUGAAAAGCUUCCCAUGGUGCUGAAAGUGCCCAGGUUAAAUUCGUCUCCUCUGGUCCUGUGUGACCGGCCCUUCUCUCUCCUGGGCUUCGGGGAUAUCUUGGUACCAGGUUUGCUUGUAGCGUAUUGUCACAGAUUUGACAUUCUCAUGCAGACUUCUCGAAUAUACUUUCUGGCCUGCACUAUUGGCUACGGCAUUGGUCUUCUCAUCACAUUUGUGGCUCUGGCUCUGAUGCAGAUGGGUCAGCCUGCCCUCUUAUACCUGGUGCCUUGCACACUUCUCACCAGCCUUGCGGUGGCGCUGUGGCGCAAGGAGUUGCCUUUGUUCUGGACAGGAAGUGGAUUUGUGGUGAAUACCAGUUUGAUAUGAGUGCCUUCUUCGAUCGGAAAAGUUCUAGGGUUAUGUACAGUUACUAGAAUUACACCUCCUCCAAUUGUGAUGGAACAAAUCAACUGUACUCAAACCCCAGGACCGUCCACAGAUGAACCCCAGUCCAAUCCGGAGCCGCCAGACUCUGAAACGACCAAUCAGAGUGAGGACCCUCCUCCACCAGCCCAAGUAGA
Rhinichthys klamathensis goyatoka is the source of this 1792-nucleotide RNA transcript. It is a transcript of the gene named signal peptide peptidase-like 2, with no coding region annotated. NCBI's taxonomy places the organism in Eukaryota, Metazoa, Chordata, Actinopteri, Cypriniformes, Leuciscidae. The record is from RefSeq and is a predicted model, not a curated record. The transcript is spliced from 15 exons.